GUUCCUGGAGACAUUGUAAAGGUGAAAAUCUACAUUUGAAACUUAUGCAUAUUAGAAUUCACUUACAUGUGUGAUGUUGGCAAAUUUGGUUGUGGCUGUGAGAAACAGUGAUUAGUAUUGUAGGUGGGAUUAGCAACCUUCCAACAAGUGGGAGAUGAGAGUUGGGAAUUUUACUUGAAUUUAAUCUAAAACCAAUCAAACAAGUUGAAUUGUUAGGAAAUAUAGGUUUUAUAGCAGAAGCCUCUGUUCUAAUCAAG
Molecule: unclassified non-coding RNA, 257 nt
Filed under: Hevea brasiliensis (rubber tree)
Lineage: Eukaryota; Viridiplantae; Streptophyta; Magnoliopsida; Malpighiales; Euphorbiaceae
Source: RNAcentral